UGACAAGGAGAGGUGCCAUGCUUGACCUCGUGCUUACCAACAGGGAAGGGCUGGUUGGAAAUAUGAUGCUCCAGGACAUCCAUGGUUGCAGUGAUCAUGAGAUGGUUGAAUUUGAGAUCCUCAGGACAGUGAGAAGAGCAUGCAGCAAGCUCACUGCCCUGGACUUCAAGAGAGCAGACUUUGGCCUCUUCAGGAAGCUGCUUAGUAAGGUUCCAUGUGAUAUAGCCCUAAAGGGCAGGGGGGCCCAAGACUGUUGGUUGAUAUACAAGGAUCACCUACUACAAGCUCAGGAGUGUUGCAUCCCAACUAGAAGGAAGUGCAGCAGGAGGGCCAGGAGAUCUCCUUGGAUGGAUAAGUUGCUGCUGAGGAAAAUUCGAAGGAAAAAAGAGGCUUAUAAAAGGUGGAAGCAAGGUCAGGCGGCCUGGAAAGAAUACAGCGAUAUUGUCCAGGAAGCUAGGGACCAGGAUAGGAAAGCUAAGGCCCAGUUAGAAUUGAACUUGGCUAGGGAUGUUAAGGAUAUCAGGAAGGGAUUCUAUAGGUACGUAACGAAUAAAAAACAGACUAGGGACACCGUGGGCCCCCUCCAGAAGCUAUCAGGAGAACUGACUACCCUGGAUAUAGAGAAGGCUGAGGUUCUUAAUGUCUUCACCAGAAAACGCUCUGACCACACCACCCAAGUCUUGGAAGGCAGACGCAGGGACAGUGAGAAUGAAGACCUUGGGCCCACUGUACGAGAGGAUCUGGUUCGAGGCCAUCAUAAGAACCUGAACAUACACAAGUUCAUGGGACCGGAUGAAAUCCAUCCACAGGUCCUGAAGGAGCUGGCAAAAGAAGUUGCUAAGACACUGUCCAUCAUAUUUGAAAAAUCAUGGCAGUCAGAUGAAGUUCGCGACGACUGGAAAAAGGGAAAUAUAACCUCCGUUUUUAAAAAGGGGAAAAUGGAUGACCCGGAGAAUUACAGACCAGUUAGUCUCACCUCUGUGCCUGGCAAAAUCUUGGAGCAGAUUCUCCUGGAAGGCAUGCUGAGGCACAUGAAAACCAACAAGGUGCUUGGUGACAGCCAGCAUGGCUUCACUAAGGGGAAAUCCUGCCUGACCAACAUGGUGGCCUUCUAUGAUGGGGCUAUGGAACUGAUGGACAGGGGUAGAGCAGCUGAUGUCAUCUACCUGGACUUAUGCAAAGCAUUCAACACUGUCCCACACGACAUCCUUGUCUCUAAGUUGAAGAGACAUCAAUUUGAUAGGGAGACCACUCGGUGGAUAAAGAAGUGGCACAGAAAGAGUUGUGGUCAAUGGCUCAAUGUCCAGCUGGAGACAAGUAUCAUGUGGUGUCCCUCAGGGAUCGGUGUUGGGAUCGGUCUUGUUCAACAUGUUUGUCAGUGACAUGGACAGUGGGAUUGAGUGUGCCCUCAGCAAGUUUGCCGAUCACACCAAGCUGUGUGGUUCGGUUGAUGCGUUGGAGGGAAAGAAUGCCAUCCAGAGGGACCUUGACAUGCUUGUGAGGUGGCUGAUGCCAACCUGACAAAGUUUAACCAUGCCAAGUGCAAGGUCCUCCACCUGGGUCGGAGCAAUCCGAGGCACAGCUGCAGGUUGGGCAGAGAAGAGAUUCAGAGCAGCCCUGCAGAGAAGGACUUGGGGGUGUUGGUCAAUUAGAAACUGAACAUGAGCCAGCAGUGUGCGCUUGCAACCCAGAAAGCCAACCGUAUCCUGGGCUGCAUCAAAAGGAGCGUGACCAGCAGGUCGAGGGAGGUGAUCCUGCCCCUCUACUCUGCUCUUGUGAGACCUCACUUGGAGUAUUGUGUGCAGUUCUAAUGUCCUCAACAUAAAAAGGACGUGGAACUGUUGGAACAAGUGCAGAGGAGGGCCACGAGGAUGAUCAGGGGACUGGAGCACCUCCUGUACGAAGACAGGCUGAGAUAGUUGGGGCUGUUCAGCCUGGAGAAGAGAAGGC
Amazona collaria (yellow-billed parrot) is the source of this 1950-nucleotide long non-coding RNA. Lineage: Eukaryota; Metazoa; Chordata; Aves; Psittaciformes; Psittacidae. The record is from Ensembl.